Molecule: ribosomal RNA, 217 nt
Filed under: uncultured bacterium
Lineage: Bacteria
Description: partial 16S ribosomal RNA
Rfam family: Bacterial small subunit ribosomal RNA
Source: RNAcentral
UCUAGAGAUUACUCCUACGGGAGGCAGCAGUGGGGAAUUUUGGACAAUGGGGGCAACCCUGAUCCAGCCAUGCCGCGUGAGUGAAGAAGGCCUUCGGGUUGUAAAGCUCUUUCAGACGGAAAGAAAACGCAUCGGUGAAUACCCGAUGUGGAUGACGGUACCGUAAGAAGAAGCACCGGCUAACUACGUGCCAGCAGCCGCGGUAAUAAUCGUCGAC